AUCGCUUCUUGGCCUUUUGGCUAAGAUCAAGUGUAGUAUCUGUUCCUGUCAGCAAUUGUGCUUGAUAAUGCAUAUAUUCCCCCCU
Podarcis lilfordi (Lilford's wall lizard) is the source of this 85-nucleotide non-coding RNA. NCBI's taxonomy places the organism in Eukaryota, Metazoa, Chordata, Lepidosauria, Squamata, Lacertidae. The record is from the annotation of a GenBank genome assembly.